Dreissena polymorpha is the source of this 2355-nucleotide long non-coding RNA. RefSeq lists it as uncharacterized. Lineage: Eukaryota; Metazoa; Mollusca; Bivalvia; Myida; Dreissenidae. The transcript has 4 exons. The record is from RefSeq and is a predicted model, not a curated record.
AUUCCUGGAUGUUGUUGCUCGGUGGCCAGGUUCCACCCAUGAUUCUGCAAUAUUUGAAAAUUCCCGGUUGAAGGACUACCUUGAUAACCAUGAUGGGAUGAUACUUCUUGGGGACAGCGGGUAUGCUCUCAAGAGGUAUCUGCUUACACCCAUCCCCGCCCCCCGUAAUGAGCAAGAACACCUGUAUAAUAGACGGCAUAGGCAAGGUCGAUUGUGCAUAGAGAGAACCUUUGGUCUACUCAAGUCAAGAUUCAGAUGCCUUCACAAGACUGGUGGUGUGUUACCAUUCAAGCCACAAAAAUGUGCAAGCGUAUUCAUGGCAUGUUGUCGCUUGCACAACCUGUGCUUGCAGAACGGUCUUCCAGAUCCACCAGAACUUGAUUUGGAGGAGGAUCAUGAUCAGGAAGUGGACGCACCUGACAACAACCUUGGUGGUCAGGCUGUGCGCAAUCAAUUUGUAGAAAUACGUUGAUUGAUUGGAUAUGAUGGUUCACAUGUGAGAGAUAUCCAGGCAUAGGUCACUUACAGCUUGCUGUAUGGCAUGAAUAUCUCUCACAUAUGGACCAUGUAUAUAUAAUAUAUGUGUUAUUCUGUACAUUUUGUUUCUGAAGCCACAUUUUAUGUGUGCAUUGAUUUUAGACGGUGGUUCAUAUGUGAGAGAGAUCCAUGCAUAGGUCACUUACAGCUUGCUGUAUGGCAUGGAUAUUUGUCACAUAUGAACCAUUUCUCAUUUGUAAAUAUUUGCCAUUUUUGUGUUUGUUUUAAGCUCACCUGAGCACAACGUGCUCAUGGUGAGCUUUUGUGAUCGCCUUUUGUCCGUUGUGUGUGGUGCGUCGUCAACAUUUGCCUUGUGAACACUCUAGAGGCCACAUUUAUUGUCUGAUCCUCAUGAAAUUUGGUCAGAACAUUUGUCCCAUUGAUACCUCGACUGAGUUCGAAACUGGGUCGUACUGGGUCAAAAACUAGGUCACUAGGUCAAAAAAAAGAAAAACCUUGUGAACACUGUAGAAGUCACAUUUGAUGCCCAAUCUUCAUGUAACUUUGUCAACAAAUUAAAUCAUGCAUUAUUUUUGCAAGUUAGACAUCAUAGUACCUGUUUUUAUACACCCAUUUUCAAAAAGGGGCGUAUAACAGUUUCACCCUUUAAUUAAAUAGUUUUCAUCCGCUCUUCACCAAACUUGGUCACAAGUUGUAUCUAGACAAUAUCUAGGUCAAGUUUGAAUACGGGUCAUCCCGGGUCAAAAACUAGGUCAUGGGGUCAUCAUCAUCAUUAUUGUCAUGGGGUCAUUUAGUGCAUUUCAAGGAUUUAGCAUGGUGUCAGCUCUCUAAGUAGUUUUCAUCAUAUCUUCACUAAAUUCGGUCAGAAGUUGUAUCUAGACUAUAUUUAGGUCUUGUUCGAAUAUGGGUCAUACCGGGUCAAAAACUAGGUCAUGGGGUCACUUAGUGCAUUUCAAGGAUUUAGCAUGGUGUCCGCUCUCUUAUUUAAGUAUUUUUUAUCCAAUCUUCACUAAAUUUGGUCAAAAGUUGUAUCGAGACCAUAUCUAGGUCAUGUUCGAAUAUGGGUCAUGCCGGGUCAAAAACUAGGUCACAGGGUCACUUAGUGCAUUUCAAGGAUUAAGCAUGGUGUCAACUGAUCUUCACCAAAUUUAGUCAAAAGUUGUGUCUAAAUGUUAUGUAGGUCAAGUGCAAAUAUGGGUCAUGCCGGGUUAGAAACUAGGUCACUACGUUACUAAGUGCAUUGCUAGCAUUUAGCAUGGUUUUCCAAGACCUAUAAACGGGCGUUUCUUGUGACAGUUUGGCACUCUUGUUUAAAAUGAAGCUGUGUUGUUUUUAGUGAAUAAAAAAUAAAUUAUUGUAUGAAAUACAAGAUUUUGACAAAAACAACAACAACAGCUUUUGUUCUUAUUUACACUGCAAACAAUUAUUCAAACAUAUGAACCGCUGUAUUAUCCCGCAGUCUACAUAAGAAAUGAGGUGGACAAAAGAAGUGUUACUUCUUACAUGCAAAUGUACCACUAUACAUUGUACUUCCAAUUUAGGAUUAAUCAUGGGAUCCUAGACAUGAAACUGGUUAUAAAUGAACUGUCAAAUUUGGGGGAGCAUACAAAUAAUCUUUGGCCAGUGAAUAAUGGGAGGGGGUAAUUCUCAUGCAUUGAACAUAAAACAGCUCAAUUCAAGUAAUAUUUAUUAAUCAAGUCGGGUAUUUAAACAUUUUAACACAAGCUCUGAAAGCUUUUUAAGCCGACUUAUAAACUAAACAUGUACAUAAUAACACAAUAGCACAUACAGUUACAUAAACUAAUACACAUUAAAAACAUACAGUAAUAUAACUAAAGACACAUUAUUAAAGCACAU